GGAUCUGGAGGUGUCGGUGGGCACGAUGGGGACAGCCGGGCCGGGCGAGGCAGUGCGGGCACAUGCGGCGGCCGCAGUCGACGCGGUAGAUGUUCUCCUCGCUCUCCCCGAAGAACUUGUUCCUCAGCAACAGCUUUAUCCAUCGCGGCGGUACGCUUGUGCUUCUCCCUCCCCCUUUCCUCUCCCUCCUCCUCCUCCUCCUUCCUUCUCUCGCUCGAUGAUGCUCGCCUUCUUGUAAACAGUAGAGUAUAAGCUCACAAGUCUGAGAACCAGAGAAGAGGUAAGUUUUCAUCAACUUUUGUUUGUCCCCCUGUACCAGCAUUUCGAUUGGUCAAUGAAUUACCGUACUUGAGAACAUUUAUAUCCACAAAAUAUUUGCUUUGCAGACACUUUUAUUGGACUAAUCGAAACAGCUGCUUGGAAAACUGAUGCUUGAUCUGUUUCAGUGAUCUCCGGCAACGUCAAUGGAAGGAUGAUCGAAUGACCUUUUGCAGGUUAUGGUCAGUACCUACUGUCCAGGCUCAGUUUGAACUCUUUUCUACGUACAAUAUGGUGGCAUCCGAAAACAGUGAUUCUCCCGGUCGAAUGAAGCGAGUUGCGACCGGGAGACACUGAGGUCCCGUGUGGGGCCGUAGUCUGGGCUUGGACUGGAUCUCCAUCGUGGGCUCAGUUUGGGCUUUCAAAGGAACGAUUCCAUGCAACAGCAAACUAUUGAUCGAAGAUAAUUAUUAUUAGAAAAGGUGAAACGUAAGAUGGUGGAGAACGACAAGUAUUCAUCCCAAGUUGUUGGGUUCUUCUCUUAAUGCCUAAAUUGUUCCUCAAGGUUGGGUUAGGAAUCGACUUGUAGGUAGGUGUUGUUUCUAUCAUUAAAUGAUAUGGAAGUGACUAAUAUCUACGUAUAUUUAAUCUCCUUAAAUCGGAUUCGUAUAUUCUCUAAUAAUUAUAUAUAAAAUAAUAAAUUGGUAUGCAAAUCAAGUUGGAUGAAAUAGUUCGUUCUCAACUCCAUCGACAGCUACAGCUAAAUUAUUGUGCUCACGGGAAGAAGACAUAGCUGAUUA
This 1058-nucleotide long non-coding RNA is filed under the name Musa acuminata (dwarf banana). RNAcentral describes it as "long non-coding RNA (MACU_LNC006230)". Lineage: Eukaryota; Viridiplantae; Streptophyta; Magnoliopsida; Zingiberales; Musaceae. The record is from RNAcentral.